Molecule: long non-coding RNA, 562 nt
Organism: Populus euphratica (Euphrates poplar)
Lineage: Eukaryota; Viridiplantae; Streptophyta; Magnoliopsida; Malpighiales; Salicaceae
Exons: 2
Source: RefSeq, a predicted model, not a curated record
CUUGAUACCAUACUGCAAUUGCAUGGCAACAUGCAUAGACAGUAGUUAAAGAAGCUUUAAGCCUCUAAAAUAAAAUGACCGACAGCAAACAUGUAGCAUACAUGAAAUCAUAAAAAUAAUAAUUAAAAAGUAAUAAAGUAAUUUAGCAACCUUGCUUGCAUGCUUGCAUGAAAUUUCAUGUUAGUAGCUACAUUACUUGCAUAUUUCAAGUUGUAUAUAAUGCAUUGAGAAAAAGAUACUGUUAGAGAAGAACAGCAAUUACACAAUUUUUAUCCUAGAAAGAAUCGCUCAUAAGCAUGAAGGCAAUUCACUUAAUUAAAGUUAUGGGGAUUGAUAUAAUAAUCCCUAGUCGUCUCAUGAAGAAUUUGGGCUCACAAAAAGCAGAGUGAAGGAGAAAGAUUCAUGUAGCUCAAUUCAGCUAGUUGGAGAUUCAGGUUUAGGAGAAUUCAGUUGCAUAAAUAACUAGUUGAAUCCAUAUAUUCAAUAUCCAUUAACGAUUAUCAUCAAAUUCACAACUCAUUGAUACAUUCCAGAAAAGGUUAAUAAAUAACAUGAAGAUCAA